RNAcentral lists this ribosomal RNA (119 nucleotides) under Takifugu rubripes (torafugu). RNAcentral also lists the same sequence under 1 other name. Lineage: Eukaryota; Metazoa; Chordata; Actinopteri; Tetraodontiformes; Tetraodontidae. The record is from RNAcentral.
GCUUAUGGCCAUACCACCCUGAGAACGCCCGAUCUCGUCCGAUCUCGGAAGCUAAGCAGGGUCGGGCCUGGUUAGUACUUGGAUGGGAGACCGCCUGGGAAUACCAGGUGCUGUAAGCU